RNAcentral lists this ribosomal RNA (495 nucleotides) under uncultured bacterium. RNAcentral describes it as "partial 16S ribosomal RNA". It matches the Rfam family "Bacterial small subunit ribosomal RNA", at positions 28 to 507 of the family's 1533-position model. The record is from RNAcentral.
GACGAACGCUGGCGGCGUGCCUAAUACAUGCAAGUAGAACGCUGAAGGAGGAGCUUGCUCUUCUGGAUGAGUUGCGAACGGGUGAGUAACGCGUAGGUAACCUGCCUGGUAGCGGGGGAUAACUAUUGGAAACGAUAGCUAAUACCGCAUAAUAGUAGAUGUUGCAUGAUAUUUACUUAAAAGGUGCAAUUGCACCACUACCAGAUGGACCUGCGUUGUAUUAGCUAGUUGGUGGGGUAACGGCUCACCAAGGCGACGAUACAUAGCCGACCUGAGAGGGGGAUCGGCCACACUGGGACUGAGACACGGCCCAGACUCCUACGGGAGGCAGCAGUAGGGAAUCUUCGGCAAUGGACGAAAGUCUGACCGAGCAACGCCGCGUGAGUGAAGGAGGUUUUCGGAUCGUAAAGCUCUGUUGUAAGAGAAGAACGAGUGUGAGAGUGGAAAGUUCACACUGUGACGGUAUCUUACCAGAAAGGGACGGCUAACUACGUG